GAGUAGUAGGAGUUAAGAUCUUUAAACUCAAAAAAUUUGGCGGUAUUUUAUCUUUUUAGAGGAACCUGUUUAUUAAUUGAUAUUCCACAACUUAAAUAUACUUUUACUAAGCUAUUUGUAUACCGCUGUCAUGAAUCUACUUAGAAGUUUAUUUUCAAGAUUUUUUAUGUAAUUUAUGUUAGGUCAAGGUGCAGUAUGUAGACGACUAAAAUGGGUUACAUUAUUUAUUAUGAAUGGAUUAUUUUAAUUAAUAUUUUAAAUAUGAAAUAGGAUUUAUAAGUAAAAAAGUUAUUAGAGAUUUUAUAUGAAUAGAGAUUCUAAAAUAUG
Molecule: ribosomal RNA, 327 nt
Filed under: Cacopsylla mali
Lineage: Eukaryota; Metazoa; Arthropoda; Insecta; Hemiptera; Psyllidae
Description: partial 12S ribosomal RNA
Source: RNAcentral